GGGCAGUGCGGCAGCCUACACAUGCAAGUCGAACGGUAGCACAGAGAGCUUGCUCUCGGGUGACGAGUGGCGGACGGGUGAGUAAUGUCUGGGAAACUGCCUGAUGGAGGGGGAUAACUACUGGAAACGGUAGCUAAUACCGCAUAACGUCGCAAGACCAAAGAGGGGGACCUUCGGGCCUCUUGCCAUCAGAUGUGCCCAGAUGGGAUUAGCUAGUAGGUGGGGUAACGGCUCACCUAGGCGACGAUCCCUAGCUGGUCUGAGAGGAUGACCAGCCACACUGGAACUGAGACACGGUCCAGACUCCUACGGGAGGCAGCAGUGGGGAAUAUUGCACAAUGGGCGCAAGCCUGAUGCAGCCAUGCCGCGUGUAUGAAGAAGGCCUUCGGGUUGUAAAGUACUUUCAGCGGGGAGGAAGGUGAUGAGGUUAAUAACCUUGUCGAUUGACGUUACCCGCAGAAGAAGCACCGGCUAACUCCGUGCCAGCAGCCGCGGUAAUACGGAGGGUGCAAGCGUUAAUCGGAAUUACUGGGCGUAAAGCGCACGCAGGCGGUCUGUCAAGUCCGAUGUGAAAUCCCCGGGCUCAACCUGGGAACUGCAUUCCAAACUGGCAGGCUAGAGACUUGUAUAGGGGGGGAGACAUCCCUGUGGGGCACUGUGACAUGCUCAAAUCUCUUUAAGUAUAUGGUCGUCCAGGGGG
RNAcentral lists this ribosomal RNA (700 nucleotides) under Klebsiella oxytoca. Its description in RNAcentral is "bacterial SSU rRNA". It matches the Rfam family "Bacterial small subunit ribosomal RNA", at positions 31 to 723 of the family's 1533-position model. The record is from RNAcentral. Lineage: Bacteria; Pseudomonadati; Pseudomonadota; Gammaproteobacteria; Enterobacterales; Enterobacteriaceae.